Long non-coding RNA from Ictalurus punctatus (channel catfish), 2226 nucleotides. NCBI's taxonomy places the organism in Eukaryota, Metazoa, Chordata, Actinopteri, Siluriformes, Ictaluridae. The record is from Ensembl.
GAAAGAGCCAGGCUUCCACUUUCUGGGGAAAACCAGAGACCCCCUUUCAUUUGGUAAGCAAAUGUUAUGUGCUUUGCUACAAAAGCACAAAAGAAGGAAAUCUGCUCUGUCCGAGGUCUCGCUUUCCGGCUGUUCCUAGAGGACCUGAUCCUACAGUGAUGACAACCGGUCAGGAACUAUACCGGCACAGGUUGACCUACUGAACGGUGACCCGGAAAGAGUUCCAUUGGACUCAGUGAGUAUAUUUUUAGGGUCAUGUCGUGUCUGCAUGCCGUGUGUCUUUUUUCUUGUGCCUCCCGGUGGGAUUGUUGAGCCUGUCAGGCUGUAGUGGAGUGACACGGAUUCCCCUUCGUGCGUCAGAACUGUCCCGUUCGCGGUCCCUGAUAGGGAUAGGGUCUUUUUCCUGUCUGGUACAGGAGUUUGGAUGGACGCUGGGAGCGUGUCGUAACCUCCCAUGUGGGUUUUCCCAUUAUUUAUUUAUUUAUUUAUUUCUCCAUUUAGGUUUCAAUUGUUUUAAUCUCUUUUUUAAUUCUUUUUUCUUUUUCUUUCAAGGGAUUCUGGGGUGGCAUAGGUAUGCCUUUGCCCGUGUUUGUCCUUAUUGGGAGUUGUAAUUAAUCAAAUAAUGAUUCUUAUGAACAGGCCGACCAGAAGGGAAAAUAACAGUAGAGCGAAUUGCAAACAUGAGGCACGGGCUGAUUAGGGUUAGGGUUAAGGUUAGAGUUAGGGGGUUAGGGUUAGGGUUAAGGUUAGAGUUAGGGCUUUAGGGUUUUUUGGGUUAGGGUUAGGGUUAGGUUUUUGUAGGCAGUACGUGGGGUAAGUUUCCAGUAAGCACCUCUGCAGAAAAUGCUUGGCGUAUUUGGUUAUUUUUAUUAAUGUACUCAAUUUUACUGAAAAUUGGAAACAAAAUCAGUGCUCACUGAUAUCCAAGCAACUUCAUAAAUCUUUUGUAAAUAUUUCUUUUAAUCUUUGAUUUAGUUGCCAAUAAGUGGCUCUGCUGUCGGGGACAAGAUUUCAGGAGAAGGUGCACUCUGUCCAGGUCCGACUGAGACUGAAAAUUGAAACUCUACCUAAAGCAAGCUGAAAAGAUUUUCAGAACUAAGAUAUUUGGCAUAGAUCAAAUGGGCUGAUUAGAUUUGUACUAUUUUUUGUGAUGUGUAUAUGAAGAAUAAAAUACAGAAUUGAUAUGAAAGAUAAAUAUAUUAGUUUACUAUUUUACAAUAUUGUGUAAUCUCUAGAUAAAGGUGAUUACUGCACUUCCCUGUUUAUUGUUUUAUCAAAGGCUUGACACAGUGGAUCAUGAAAUAUUGCUGCAGAGAUUAAAUAAUGCUGGUCUAUUAAAUCAUUUAAAAAUUAUUGAAGUAAUCUCAGAGAGGCUAUUCGGGUUAAAUAAAGGUUAAAUAAAUAAAUAAAUAAAUAAAAUGGCUCUUUCCACAGGUGAUGGCUAAUUCCCUGCUUUUCUUGUAAUACUUGAUUUAAUCUCCCAUCCCUUCAGUUCUCUCAUCUUCGUGUAAUCUCUAAUCAAAUAUCAUUUGUUGGAAUACCCCCUCUCAUAAAGGGGUCUUCUACUCUCAUGUUUAGUUAAUCUGUCAAAGAGUUCUAGUCUGUUGUCUGCAAAAAUACAACAAAAUACAACAAAGAUUCCUUCUUCUCCCUUCCUGAAUUCCUCUCUUAAUAUCCUUCUGGUGAAUGAAAAAACCAAAUCCUUUAGUCUAGGACUAUUUGUGAUGUACAUUAAUCUAACAUCUUAAUAUCCCAUCUGUGCUAACGAGUGAUAAUCCCAAUAAUACAGAACUAAAAUAGAGUAAAUGAGGUUGAGAUCUAGACAUGUAUUUACAGUUCUCUAGUCUCUUUUAUCCCACUCAUUUUUAUUCAAAACAUCCUACUGAAUUUGUUUUUACUGUCUACAACAAUAGUGUUUAGUUUAAAGGGUAGACGUGCAUGCACCCCUUUGUUCCUUAUUAACUUACAACUGUACCACACUCAAAAUAUCACUCAGACCCUUCAUACAUGACAUUUAAACUGUUCACUUUCUGUAAAUCUCUCUAAUCAGGAGUAAUGCGCAUGUGUAUUUAACUAGUCUAACAAAAUUUAUCUACUAUGAGCUUGGUUUCAAUUUAAUACAAAUUUGUUUCCUUCACUGAGCGCAAAGAGACUGUAACUGAACUAAACUAACAAACAUGUCACUGCAGUGAGACCCACAUCAGCACAACAACAGGUCACAUCAGC